UUUAGGAUGGCCGAGUGGUUAAGGCGUUGGACUUAAGUUCCAAUGUACGAAUGUACGCGUGGGUUCGAACCCCACUCCUGGUA
This 83-nucleotide transfer RNA is filed under the name Nematostella vectensis (starlet sea anemone). It matches the Rfam family "tRNA". From Rfam's summary of the family: Transfer RNA (tRNA) molecules are approximately 80 nucleotides in length. Their secondary structure includes four short double-helical elements and three loops (D, anti-codon, and T loops). Lineage: Eukaryota; Metazoa; Cnidaria; Anthozoa; Actiniaria; Edwardsiidae. The record is from Rfam by way of RNAcentral.